This 2967-nucleotide long non-coding RNA is filed under the name Olea europaea subsp. europaea. The record is from RNAcentral. Lineage: Eukaryota; Viridiplantae; Streptophyta; Magnoliopsida; Lamiales; Oleaceae.
UUAAAGACAUUAGCAUCAAUAUGAUACCCCAUAAAUUAGUAAAUUAAAAUAGAGAAAGAAAGAAUCUUAAAGAUAUACAAUUAUCAUAUUCAAUAACAAUUUGUCUUACAUAACUUUCAUCUUUGACAGUCAUAUCAAGUCUUAAUGUAUCUAAUUUGGAUGGAGUAUAGGCCUCCUCAUCAUAAGUUUCUAACUAAUGAAAUCCUCUUGCAGGUGCCUUUAAUACAAUAUACCAACUAGAUGUAUAGCUCUCUCUAGAAUAAAAAACUUGUUUUGCUUGUGAUGCUAAUUGAUGUUAUCCUCUAUAAUGAUUUACCAAUGUAAAUCCUUCUUCAAUCUUGACUCCAGUAUCUAUAUUUGCCCAAUCACAAUGAAACAGAGGAACUUUAAAACUAAGAUAAUCUAUUAAAAUUAUGUCUCUGAUAACCCGUAAUAAGAUACUUUACCAACUACAUGGCUUGUAUCCUUCAUGCUAGAUCAACAAAUAGUUUGUUCUUCAAUAGGAACACCACUGUUUUGUGCACUUCUACUAACAUCGGUUGUAUGAAAUCGAUUUCCAUUGAUAACAUAACCAGAAUGUGACAUCACAUCAUUUCUAGGCCGACGUGCAAGCCAUUUCAAUGUAUUAGACAUGUUACAAUUGUCUUGUUUGCCUUUCUCCGCAAACCAAGAAUUGAAAGUCUCCAUAUGUCUCAUUUAUAAUAAAGUUUCAUUCUUGGCAAUACGGCUAUCUGAAUUCUUAAUCUCCUCUUUAUGCAUCCUAAAUGAAAAAAAAUAAACAAAUAGUAAGAGAAGUUUAUGAGAGAACAUCAAUUAAUGUUAAACUAAUAAAUUAACUAAUUUCAUUACAUUAUAUAUGGCUCAACUGCAACGCUGUUAAAUAGCACAUAACGACGAGCGACCUCUAACAUUGUCUUUGACUUUCCUUCUAAAACAUGUAUUUUUAUUGGUUAUAGUCUUUGUCAUCAUGGAUACAAAUGUUUGGAUCUUGCAACUGGAAAUGUAUUUGUUUCAAGACAAGUUCUCAAUGAAACACUAUUUCCUUAUACCAACACCAAAAGUCCCCAGGAAGAAUUAACAGAUACUUCCAUUUCUUUACCAACUAAUCUUCGCGCACAUCAUUGCUUUCCACAUAUGUCAUGCAGGUUCUCACCAUGGUCCACGUAUUCCACUUGAAGUUGGGACAAUUUCACAAGAAAAUCAGAACACAUCAAGCAGAUAUGGUCGGUGCUCUCCCGUGAUGGAUGUCACUACUUCAUCUAUUGUUCCUGGCAGCACCUCAACCUCUCAACCUUCAACUCCUCAUCACAUGCUUUCACGUUCCAAGACGAAUUCCUUGAAACGAAGACAUCUGGAUGAUGAUUUUAUUCGGUAUCCUCUACCGAAAACCCUUGUGGCCACUGCAAGGUGACCUUUAUUAGAGCCUUCAUGUUAUUUUGAGGCAUCCAAAUAUUCAGAAUGGAGACGGGCAAUGAAUGAAGAAUUUGAUGCUUUGAUUCGAAAUCAUACAUGGACUCUUGUUCCACCGAAACCCGAAGUUAACUUAAUUGGGUGUAAAUGGGUCUAUCGAAUUAAACGGCAUGUAGAUGGAAGAAUAGAAAGAUUCAAGGCAAGAUUAGUAGCUAAAGGCUAUAAUCAGCAAGAAUGAGUAGAUUUUCAUGACACUUUCAGCCCUGUGUUAAAACUAACAACAAUUAGAUUUCUACUUUUAGUUGCUAUCACUAAUCAUUGGUACAUCAAACAGAUUGAUGUACAAAAUGCAUUUUUAAAUGGGAUUCUCAUUGAAGAUGUCUAUAUGAGACAGUCACCAGGAUAUUUGCAUUCGGAUUAUCCAAAUCAUCUAUGUAAGUUGAACAAGAGUUUAUAUGGCUUACGCCAAGCCCCACAUUCAUGGUUUUCUAGAUUAACUUAAAUGCUUACUAGCAUGGGAUUUGUUGGUUCAAAGGCUGAUUCCUCACUAUAUUUUCUUCAUCAAGAUGAUAUGCAGUUAUUUUUCCUCAUUUACGUUGAUGAUAUAAUCAUCACCUGGACAGAUCCAAAGCAUAUUGAUUGGGUAAUUCAUAAGCUUUCUCUCGAAUUUCCUAUUAAAGAUCUUGGCAACCUCUCCUAUUUCCUUCGAAUUGAAGCUCUACGUACCAAUGAAGGCCUCUUUCUCACACAACAAAAGUAUAUUGUUGAACUGUUAAGGAAAGCUAUUCUUGAGAAUGCCAAGCCAUGUCUAACACCAAUGGCUACAAAUUGUCAUCUCACUAAGUUCGAUGGAACAGCCUUUGACAAUCCAAUGUUAUAUCGCAGUAGAGUUGGUGGACUUCAGUAUCUUGGAUUCACGCGACCAGAUAUUGCAUUUGCAGUCCAUAGAGUCAGCAAGUUUAUACAUUGUCCCAAAGAUACCCAUUGGCAAGCUGUUAAACGUAUCUUGCGGUAUCUUAAAUAUUUUGUAUCAGAUGGAUUAUUUCUCUCAGCCAAUUCUGCCAAUAAUGCUUUUUCAGAUGCGGAUUAGGCCUCUGAUCAUGAUGAUGGACGAUCUGUUGGAGCAUAUUUGGUAUUUCAUGGGUAGAAUCUAAUUAGCUGGUCAUGCAAGCAACAAUAGACGGUGGCAAAGAGUAGUACAAAGGCUGAAUAUAAGGCGUUAUCCACUGCUGCAGCUGAGCUACAAUGGCUUCAAUCCCUUACACAAACCAUACAUAUUUCUAUCUCUGGCUUACCUCAACUAUGGUGCAAUAAUAUUGGCGCGACUUAUCUAUCAGCUAAUCCGGUUUUCCAUGCACGAACCAAGCAUUUCUUCAUUCAUUGCUCGUCUCCAUUCUGGAAAUUUGGAUGCCUCAGAAUAAUAUGUAGACUCUAAUAAAGGUGGCCUUGCAGUGGCCACAAGGGCCUGUGUAAUUUAUACUUGAGAAUACCAUAGAAGACUUGAAGCUUGGGAAUGUCAAGUUCUUGAAUUAAAAGCUGAUAUUUUGUGAAUUGAAG